AUUCAUAUAAUCAAGUUUAACUUAUUUUUAAGUAUAACUAUACUUAUAAUGGCAAACCAAUUCCAAAUAAGAAACUUUUUCUAUCUUCUAAAGUUUUAAAAUUAUAUUAGUGUAUUAUUAAUUGUUUAGAUCUUAUGCAGGCAUUUCUGAGGGUCGCAAAAGAUCUUAAUGCUAUUGUGAUUGCAACCAGAGAGAGUCAAGAGAGUAGGUUUGGCCUAUACUGGUUCUUCAUGUUUUAAUUAAUUCUAUCAUUACGCGUUUUACCUCUACUUUGAUGCUUGAAUUAAAGUGUUUCGGUGCUAUCUUCUUUUAUGAAUGAGUAAGAACAUGAAAUUGGUUUCACUUCCUGCUUUAAUAUGCAUCAUCUUUAUGAUGCCCUGGGGCUCAAGCUCCGUAGUGUUGCUAAAACUUAGUUAAGCAUUUUAAGUAUAAAACACAAAGGAAAAUUGUAUAGGAUUAUAAAAAAUAAAUGACUAAUGCCAUUAAUAACAAUAAACUAAUUUUUUUAAAACAAAGUCGCAUAUUCAAUAACUUUUGACAUAAAAGAAAAAGUAUUUCGAUGAUAAUUACUUAAAUCCAUUAGCCAAAAAAAUAAAUGAAUAAAUAAAUAAAAAUUCCAUCAAUUAGUUUUCACACUUGAUCUGAUUUGGGAUCAUUCCAACACUAGCCAACAAUAAAGCUUCCAGACUAACUUUUGAUGCUUGUAGCGUCAUUCCUUCCUUCCACUCAUCUAUUAUUUCCUUUAGAGUCACAUCAGCAAUCAAAUUUGGAAUCUUUAUGUUCAAUCCUCUUUUUGGACAGACAGUUUUCUUAUUAUUCUCAAACUUAACCAACCAUUCAAGAAUUGCUAUCUUCUUACAUGUCAUCCCACUUUCUAUUGUUACUGGAUCAUUCAUAAUCUUUUACAUCAACAGACAAAAGAAUUUAUCAUAUAAGUGCUCCAUGUAUUCAGCAGUUUGUGGCAAACUAAUAAAGGGGCCAGCAUUCCAACUUUCGUAGUCAUUUUUGCCUCCACUCUUUCUGCUUUCUAAAUUACCCGAUAAUUGUAGAUUUACUAAAUAAAUUUCAACAUUAGUAGAAUACAAAUCUAUAUCCAUUUGUUCAUAAUUAAACAUGUCCUACAUUGUUUUCAUGUAAACAAUUUAAUCUAUUAUAAAGCACAUUAUUUCUAUACAUAUCGUAUAAUAAAAUUUUCAACAUCUUUUCUCUCUUAAACCUUAUGAUUAUUUUUUUCAUUAUUUUUAGUUCCAGUUGCUGACUUCUUCUUCGAAGUAUUAAAUCAUUUAUUGUUCUGAUGGAUCCUUCAAUAAUGUCUUUUGAUGGAAAAUUUGUUGUUCUUAAAUGUGAUAUCAUUCUUCCAAGCAAUAGUGAGGCAUACAAUGCAUUCAUUCGCCAACAAUGAAAUCAAAGACAGAGGGAUUGGAGAAAUCGAGUCAAAGCUGGACGAAUUGAUUCUAUGAAAAGGGUAACUGACAUAGUAUUAUCCGAAAAUACUAAUUUUAGUUCUGCCCAUGUGAAUGAAGCUGUAAUAUGUCAUGAUUUCGAGGCUUCUACUUCAAACCAAGAAACGACAGAUGUUUCUAAAUGUGUAAAACUUGUGAACAUACCAAAUACUGUAUAUGUAUUACCAACAUGUACCUAUUGUAAAUAUUGUGGUGCACGAAAAUUUUAUAGAGAAAGUAAAGGUUUUUGUUGCUUAGAUGGAAAAGUUAUACUUUGUAUGCCCGAUUCACAACUGAACUAUAUACUUUGUUUACUUCUAAAGAAUCUA
This 1771-nucleotide long non-coding RNA is filed under the name Olea europaea subsp. europaea. The record is from RNAcentral. Lineage: Eukaryota; Viridiplantae; Streptophyta; Magnoliopsida; Lamiales; Oleaceae.